AUAUCACGUGACCUUCUAAAAUAUUGACCCGGCAUGUACAUUAUAAAGGGCCCGUAAACCUGCACUUGGCGUUGUUGGAUACAUCAGCAGGACAAUUUCCACUUAAACAAGAUGCAGCUUCCGGUAUAUUACAUAUCACUUGUAGUUCUGACAAUCGUCCUGUACGAGUCUGGCUGCUUAGCAUCAUCAACGACAGAAACAACAGCAGCAACAACAACAGUUACAGCUACUGGUUCAGGGGGUACCGCUACUACCGAUCCUGUUACCACUUCAAAUGGAACAAACACAGACAAUGGAUGCAGCACCAUUGUUCCCUAUGAAGCUGUCAUUCAUAUUCCCAGUGGCUGUGUACAUCUGUGCCAAGAUGUUCGCUACCUGAUGUCUUUGUAAUGCGAGGUUCCCGGGCCUCUUGAAAUAAAUGACUCACAUUGCGUGACGACAAAAAUCAGAAUGACGGAGGCUGCAGAUUCGUGAGAACGUUUAGGGUUGAUACAUUAUCCUGGUUUAAGUUCUCACAAAACACCUAACCAGGUUUAUUAUUUAAUAAACAAAAUUAAUUUCAAUGUCAAAAUACAAUAUCUACCAUGACACGUCCGUAUCCCCUAGGAUUAUAGUGUGGAGGUAUUUUGAAUGGGCCGAUGUAGGCACAGAGACAUGUGUUACCAGAGAGACACUAGUGUGUGACUAGCAAGGGAGACAAUCCGUGUAUGACGGUAAACAUCAUGACCUACUGUUUUCAAGUAAACAAAAAUAAAUAAUCUUAAACAA
Long non-coding RNA from Pecten maximus, 768 nucleotides. RefSeq lists it as uncharacterized. The transcript is spliced from 3 exons. The record is from RefSeq and is a predicted model, not a curated record. Lineage: Eukaryota; Metazoa; Mollusca; Bivalvia; Pectinida; Pectinidae.